UACGUAGGGGGCUAGCGUUGUCCGGAAUCAUUGGGCGUAAAGAGCGCGUAGGCGGCCAGAUAAGUCCGGUGUGAAAGUCACAGGCUCAACCUGUGAAUGCCGCUGGAAACUGUAUGGCUAGAGUCCGGAAGGGGCGAGUGGAAUUCCUGGUGUAGCGGUGAAAUGCGUAGAUAUCUGAAGGAACAUCAGUGGCGAAAGCGAACUUCCUGGACCAAUACUGACGCUCAUGUGCGAAAGCGUGGGGAGCAAACAGG
RNAcentral lists this ribosomal RNA (254 nucleotides) under uncultured bacterium. Its description in RNAcentral is "partial 16S ribosomal RNA". It matches the Rfam family "Bacterial small subunit ribosomal RNA", at positions 524 to 776 of the family's 1533-position model. The record is from RNAcentral.